Molecule: ribosomal RNA, 420 nt
Filed under: uncultured bacterium
Lineage: Bacteria
Description: bacterial SSU rRNA
Rfam family: Bacterial small subunit ribosomal RNA
Source: RNAcentral
UGGGGAAUAUUGCGCAAUGGGGGCAACCCUGACGCAGCAACGCCGCGUGAAGGAUGAAGGUUUUCGGAUUGUAAACUUCUUUUGUCAAGGACGAAGAAAGUGACGGUACUUGACGAAUAAGCCACGGCUAACUACGUGCCAGCAGCCGCGGUAAUACGUAGGUGGCAAGCGUUGUCCGGAUUUACUGGGUGUAAAGGGCGAGUAGGCGGGUUUGCAAGUCAGAUGUGAAAUACCGGGGCUUAACCCCGGGGCUGCAUUUGAAACUGUAGAUCUUGAGUGAUGGAGAGGCAGGGCGGAAUUCCCGGUGUAGCGAUGGAAUGCGUAGAUAUCGGGGAGGAACGCCAGUGGCGAAGGCGGCCUGCUGGACAUUAACUGACGCUGAGGAGCGAAAGCGUGGGGAGCAAACAGGAUUAGAUACCC